UAAUACGUAGGGUGCUAGCGUUGUUCGGAAUCAUUGGGCGUAAAGCGCGUGUAGGCGGUUAGAUAAGUCUUGUGUGAAAUCCCUCGGCUCAACCGAGGAAGUGCAUGGGAAACUAUCUGGCUGGAAGACGGUAGAGGAAGGUGGAAUUCCAAGUGUAGAGGUGAAAUUCGUAGAUAUUUGGAGGAAUACCGGUGGCGAAGGCGGCCUUCUGGACCGAUCUUGACGCUGAGACGCGAAAGCGUGGGGAGCAAACAGGAUUAGAUACCCUGGUAGUCCACGCUGUAAACGAUGGGUACUAGAUGUUGGGGGAAUGACCCCUCCAGUGUCGACGCUAACGCAUUAAGUACCCCGCCUGGGAAGUACGGCCGCAAGGUU
RNAcentral lists this ribosomal RNA (375 nucleotides) under uncultured bacterium. RNAcentral describes it as "bacterial SSU rRNA". It matches the Rfam family "Bacterial small subunit ribosomal RNA", at positions 521 to 895 of the family's 1533-position model. The record is from RNAcentral.